UGGCUCUCCCAUCGAUGAAGAACGCAGCGAAAUGCGAUAAGUAAUGUGAAUUGCAGAAUUCAGUGAAUCAUCGAAUCUUUGAACGCACCUUGCGCCCUUUGGUAUUCCGAAGGGCAUGCCUGUUUGAGUGUCAGUUUAUUCUCAACCUUACGAACGCUUUUGCGUUUGUAAGGCUUGGAUGUGAGGGCUUUGCUGGCUUCCUUUAGUGGAUGGUCUGCUCCCUUUAAAUGUAUUAGUGGAAGCCUUUGUGGACGGUCACUUGGUGUGAUAAUAUAUCUACGCCGCUUGUACUCGAAGCAAAACCUGUGGGCAUCUGCUUAUAACCGUCUGUAAUGGACAAACUUUAACUGAACUUUUGACCUCAAAUCAGGUAGGACUACCCGCUGA
Molecule: unclassified non-coding RNA, 387 nt
Filed under: uncultured fungus
Lineage: Eukaryota; Fungi
Description: partial contains 5.8S ribosomal RNA and internal transcribed spacer 2
Rfam family: 5.8S ribosomal RNA (bases 1-133)
Source: RNAcentral